GAUGAACGCUGGCGGCGUGCCUAAUACAUGCAAGUCGAGCGAACAGACGAUGAGCUUGCUCCUCUGACGUUAGCGGCGGACGGGUGAGUAACACGUGGAUCACCUACCUAUAUGACUGGGAUAACUUCGGGAAACCGGCGCUAAUACCGGAUAAUAUCUUGAACCGCAUGGUUCAAUAGUGAAUGACGGCUUUGCUGUCACUUAUAGAUGGAUCCGCGCCGCAUUAGCUAGUUGGUAAGGUAACGGCUUACCAAGGCGACGAUGCGUAGCCGACCGGAGAGGGUGAUCGGCCACCCUGGAACUGAGACACGGUCAAGACUCCUACGGGAGGCAGCAGUAGGGAAUCUUACGCAAUGGGCGAAAGCCUGACGGAGCAACGCCGCGUGAGUGAUGAAGGUCUUCGGAGCGUAAAGCUCUGUUAUGAGGGAAGAACAAAUGUGGAAGUAGAUAUGGACGUCUUGACGGUACCUAAUCAGAAAGCCACGGCUAACUACGUG
This 497-nucleotide ribosomal RNA is filed under the name uncultured bacterium. RNAcentral describes it as "partial 16S ribosomal RNA". It matches the Rfam family "Bacterial small subunit ribosomal RNA", at positions 28 to 507 of the family's 1533-position model. The record is from RNAcentral.